Molecule: ribosomal RNA, 578 nt
Filed under: Lactobacillus sp.
Lineage: Bacteria; Bacillati; Bacillota; Bacilli; Lactobacillales; Lactobacillaceae
Description: bacterial SSU rRNA
Rfam family: Bacterial small subunit ribosomal RNA
Source: RNAcentral
AGUAGGGAUCUUCCACAAUGGACGAAAGUCUGAUGGAGCAACGCCGCGUGAGUGAAGAAGGUUUUCGGAUCGUAAAACUCUGUUGUUGGAGAAGAAUGUAUCUGAUAGUAACUGAUCAGGUAGUGACGGUAUCCAACCAGAAAGCCACGGCUAACUACGUGCCAGCAGCCGCGGUAAUACGUAGGUGGCAAGCGUUGUCCGGAUUUAUUGGGCGUAAAGCGAGCGCAGGCGGUUUCUUAAGUCUGAUGUGAAAGCCUUCGGCUCAACCGAAGAAGUGCAUCGGAAACUGGGAAACUUGAGUGCAGAAGAGGACAGUGGAACUCCAUGUGUAGCGGUGAAAUGCGUAGAUAUAUGGAAGAACACCAGUGGCGAAGGCGGCUGUCUGGUCUGUAACUGACGCUGAGGCUCGAAAGCAUGGGUAGCAAACAGGAUUAGAUACCCUGGUAGUCCAUGCCGUAAACGAUGAGUGCUAGGUGUUGGAGGGUUUCCGCCCUUCAGUGCCGCAGCUAACGCAUUAAGCACUCCGCCUGGGGAGUACGACCGCAAGGUUGAAACUCAAAGGAAUUGACGGGCCGGCC